Molecule: non-coding RNA, 124 nt
Organism: Triticum aestivum (bread wheat)
Lineage: Eukaryota; Viridiplantae; Streptophyta; Magnoliopsida; Poales; Poaceae
Source: Rfam
AUGCUAUUCCCUCCGUUCGAAAAUACUUGUCCUAAAAAUGGAUAAAUGGAUGUAUCUAUAACUAAAAUUAAGUUUAGAUAUAUCCAUUUUUAAGACAAGUAUUUUCAGACGAAGGGAGUGGUAG